RNAcentral lists this ribosomal RNA (403 nucleotides) under uncultured bacterium. Its description in RNAcentral is "partial 16S ribosomal RNA". It matches the Rfam family "Bacterial small subunit ribosomal RNA", at positions 30 to 526 of the family's 1533-position model. The record is from RNAcentral.
AUUGAACGCUGGCGGCAGGCCUAACACAUGCAAGUCGAGCGAGCGGCGGACGGGCGAGUAAUGUAUGGGGACUGCCUGAUAGAGGGGGAUAACUACUGGAAACGGUGGCUAAUACCGCAUACUAUCGGAUAACCCAUAUGGGAUUAGCUAGUAGGUGGGGUAAAGGCUAACCUAGGCGACGAUCUCUAGCUGGUCUGAGAGGAUGAUCAGCCGCACUGGGACUGAGACACGGCCAAGACUCCUACGGAGGCGGCAGUGGGGAAUAUUGCGCAAUGGGAGAAAGCCUGAUGCAGCCAUGCCGCGUGUAUGAAGAAGGCCUUAGGGUUGUAAAGUACUUUCAGCGGGGAAGCGUUACCCACAGAGGAAGCACCGGCUAACUCCGUGCCAGCAGCCGCGGUAAUAC